This 77-nucleotide transfer RNA is filed under the name Coxiellaceae bacterium. Its description in RNAcentral is "tRNA-Pro". It matches the Rfam family "tRNA". Rfam says of the family: Transfer RNA (tRNA) molecules are approximately 80 nucleotides in length. Their secondary structure includes four short double-helical elements and three loops (D, anti-codon, and T loops). Further hydrogen bonds mediate the characteristic L-shaped molecular structure. tRNAs have two regions of fundamental functional importance: the anti-codon, which is responsible for specific mRNA codon recognition, and the 3' end, to which the tRNAs corresponding amino acid is attached (by aminoacyl-tRNA synthetases). tRNAs cope with the degeneracy of the genetic code in two manners: having more than one tRNA (with a specific anti-codon) for a particular amino acid; and 'wobble' base-pairing, i.e. permitting non-standard base-pairing at the 3rd anti-codon position. Lineage: Bacteria; Pseudomonadati; Pseudomonadota; Gammaproteobacteria; Legionellales; Coxiellaceae. The record is from RNAcentral.
CGGGGCGUAGCGCAGCCUGGUAGCGUACUUGCAUGGGGUGCAAGUGGUCGUCGGUUCAAAUCCGACCGUCCCGACCA